CAAAAACUAUCAAUUGGUUAAAGAAAUAGUUUGAAUUGAAUAAUUUUUGAAAUACAAAGUUUUGUCUAGGAAUACUGAUUGAACAUUUGGACAAUGAAAUUUUUGUACACCAAGAAACUUACAAAAAAUAUGACAAAAUAUUCUAUAUGGACAAAUGUGAUCUCGUGUCUACGCCAAUAAUUGUUAGAUCAUUAGAUGUGGAUAAGAUCAUUUCACAUCUCAAGAGGAGAAUGAAAGACUACUUUAUCUUGAAGUAUCAUAUCUUGAUGUGAUUCGAGCAUGAGUGUAUCUUAUUAAUUAUAGACGUCGUGACAUAUCAAUUUAUAUCAAUUUAUAUCAAUCUAUUAGUAAGAUAUAGUUAUUCACCCACACAAAUAUAUUGGAUAUGAGUCAUACAUAUACUUUGUUAUAUUAAAUAUACAUCUUACUUCUUAGAUACUUGUAAUGGUAGAUCACGAACAUAUUAUUUGUUUUCUUGUGAUGAUACAACUAUUUCAUGGAAAAAUGUGAAUUCAUAAUAACAACUUCAUCAAAUAAUGCACAAUUUUUAAACAUUACAAAAAGUCACUUUUAAAUGGAAUUCUUAACCAACUAGUAUAAAAAAUUAGUAUUCAUUGUCGAAGAGAUGGUCUUAUAGGUGAGGUGAAAAAUUUAAUGUAUCAGUCAAUAAAUUCUUAUAAAAAUAUAUUUUAAUUUUUUUUUUCUAAUAAGACUUUAUCGAGGCAUAUCCUCGAUAAAUAUAAAAAAAAAUGUUAAUGCGUAAUAUAUUAUAGAUAUUCAAUAUGUCAUCUCCCAAUAAACUUUCAGUAUUAAAUAUUGAUUAAUUCCCUUAACAUGAUGUCGUCAUUUUAUUUAUAUCUAAACAAACUCAUAGUACAGUGUAAAUGAAGGCUUGCAAUAAUAUUAAUAAUACAACAUGUUUUUUCUAUGUUUUCUUUCUCUCCUUCAUCUCUAUUUUUCUACUAUAUUUACUGUAUUGUUUAAGAUUAAUUUCAUAACACAUAAUAUAAUUGAUACAUUUCAACUAGAAAACAAACAUGAUAAAUUUCACCAUCUAUCAAGAAAAUUGAAAGGUUAAAGUAAUCUAAAUUAAAAUUAAUCAUAAGAGAGACAAAAUUAUGACGUGUAAAUAAGUUUAUACGCCUUCAAUUAAGAAAUAAUUAAUUAUAUAUCAAGGUUGCUACAAUGGUUUCAUACACAUGCAUUGAGAAUGGAUACAAAUUUCUAAGAAAGGAGAAAGACAGUAAUUUUGACAAUCAUAGUCGUCAAUACACAACACAGAUUCAGCUGUGAUAUGUAACCAAAAGUGAUGAGUGUUAAUUAAAGAGAAUGGAAAAAUUUUAUAUACAAAAUAAAGCAUUAAAAAAAUGAAAAGUUGAGAAAAAGGAUAUACCUGAACUUACAUCCCUUAAAAUAAAAAAUAGGGAGAAAAAGAAGAACAUGACAUAAAUAAAUUUAAGAUAUUUAGUCAUACUUUUACUCAUGUAAAUAUAUAAACUUUUAUAUCAAUUUAUAAUGAAUAUUUUUAGAAAUUAUGGAGAUGCAAGAAAUUCUUGUUUCUUUUCCUUACACUCAUGUGUCAUAUUUGUCUUUUAGAUCAUUUAAAAACAAUCUAACAGAAAUAGUUUAUAUCAACCUUUCGGUUACAUUUAAUUUCUUUUACAACCUUUCAUGAUAGACAAGAAAAAGAACAUGUAAACAAUAAGUAUUGAACUAUAACAAAGUCACCAAUAGUAAUUGUAUUACAACAUCUGAGAAUCUUCACCAUGAGUUGUUGGAUCAGAAAAACAAAUUCGCAUGAGUUUCUAUAGUUGUUGGAUCUAUAAAUCAACCAUAACAACUAGCUCCAAAAGUUGGUUCGUAAACGAAUUAUAAUUUGAUUUUUCAAGUUCGACUCUUAAGAAAUUAUGGUUUUUUUGGCCAAUCCAAUAAUAAAUUUUUUGUUUUAAACUAAAAAACUGAUUUUGUAUUUAUAAAAAAUAAUUAGAAAUACUAUGCACAAGAUACAUGCUCACCUAACUUUAAAUUUGAGAAAUAAUAUAAUGAAAUUUAAGAGACUAAAUCAUACUUUAAUAGACAACAAAUACACAUACUCCACAAUUUCAUUAUCACCAAUAGACAAAUUCUGAUAAACUUAUUAGUACAAAAAUGUAGAUACGCUAACAAAAUUUUAAUGAUUGAAUUCUUGAAUGUU
This 2194-nucleotide long non-coding RNA is filed under the name Lathyrus oleraceus (garden pea). RNAcentral describes it as "Pisum sativum (pea) long non-coding RNA (PSAT_LNC014532)". Lineage: Eukaryota; Viridiplantae; Streptophyta; Magnoliopsida; Fabales; Fabaceae. The record is from RNAcentral.